Molecule: ribosomal RNA, 467 nt
Filed under: uncultured bacterium
Lineage: Bacteria
Description: partial 16S ribosomal RNA
Rfam family: Bacterial small subunit ribosomal RNA
Source: RNAcentral
GACGAACGCUGGCGGCGUGCUUAACACAUGCAAGUCGAACGGAAAGGCCCUGCUUUUGUGGGGUGCUCGAGUGGCGAACGGGUGAGUAACACGUGAGUAACCUGCCCUUGACUUUGGGAUAACUUCAGGAAACUGGGGCUAAUACCGGAUAGGAGCUCCUGCUGCAUGGUGGGGGUUGGAAAGUUUCGGCGGUUGGGGAUGGACUCGCGGCUUAUCAGCUUGUUGGUGGGGUAGUGGCUUACCAAGGCUUUGACGGGUAGCCGGCCUGAGAGGGUGACCGGCCACAUUGGGACUGAGAUACGGCCCAGACUCCUACGGGAGGCAACAGUGGGGAAUAUUGCACAAUGGGCGGAAGCCUGAUGCAGCAACGCCGAGUGCGGGAUGACGGCCUUCGGGUUGUAAACCGCUUUCGCCUGUGACGAAGCGUGAGUGACGGUAAUUGGUAAAGAAGCACCGGCUAACUACGU